Molecule: long non-coding RNA, 1408 nt
Organism: Oncorhynchus tshawytscha (Chinook salmon)
Lineage: Eukaryota; Metazoa; Chordata; Actinopteri; Salmoniformes; Salmonidae
Source: Ensembl
GGACAGUAGGACAGGAUGACCUUUGGAUGACCAAUCCAUGACCUAGGGUCAUCAGGGCGGCCGGUAAUAUAAUGAGAUAUAAAAACAUUUGGGUUAUAAUCUAGGUACCAUUCUACCGUGAUCAUUCCAUGGUAGUGUCACUCAGAGGCAAACAAACAAGAGAAAGACUCAGUGGUUCCAUGCAUAAUUGGGUGGUACCAUGCAUAGUCGGGUGGUAGGGUGGUACCAUACAUAGUCGGGUGGUAGGGUGGUCCCAUGCAUAGUCGGGUGGUAGGGUGGUUCCAUACAUAGUCGGGUGGUAGGGUGGUCCCAUGCAUAGUCGACUGUUAGGGUGGUCCCAUGCAUAGUCGGGUGCUAGGGUGGUCCCAUGCAUAGUCGGGUGUUAGGGUGGUCCCAUGCAUAGUCGAGUGUUAGGGUGGUCCCAUGCAUAGUCAGGUGUUAGGGUGGUCCCAUGCAUAGUCGGGUGGUAGGGUGGUUCCAUACAUAGUCGGGUGGUAGGGUGGUCCCAUGCAUAGUCGACUGUUAGGGUGGUCCCAUGCAGAGUCGGGUAUUAGGGUGGUUCCAUGCAUAGUCGGGUGGUAGGGUGGUCCCAUGCAUAGUCGGGUGGUAGGGUGGUCCCAUGCAUAGUCUGGUGGUAGGGUGGUUUCAUGCAUAGUCGGGUGGUAGGGUGGUCCCAUGCAUAGUCGGGUGGUAGGGUGGUUCCAUGCAUAGUCGGGUGGUAGGGUGGUUCCAUGCAUAAUCGGGUGUUAGGGUGGUCCCAUGCAUAGUCGGCUUGUAGGGUGGUCACAUGCAUAGUCGGGUGGUCCCAUGCAUAGUGGUCCUAUGCAUAGUUGGGUGGUAGGGUGGUCCCAUGCAUAGUCGGGUGGGUGGUCCCAGGGUGGUUCCCAUGCAUAGUCGGGUGGUAGGGUGGUCCCAUGCAUAGUCGGGCGAUAGUGUGGUCCCAUGGAUAGUCCGGGUGGUAGGGUGGGCCCAUGCAUAGUCGGGUGGUAGGGUGGUCCCAUGCAUAUCGGGCCUGGGUGGUAGGGUGAGCCCAUGCAUAGUCGGGUGGUAAGUUGGGCCCAUGCAUAGUCGGGUGGUAGGGUGGGCCCAUGCAUAGUCGGGUGGUAGGGUGGUCCCAUGCAUAGUCGGGUGGUAGGGUGGUCCCAUGCAUAGUCGGGUGGUAGGGUGGUCCCAUGCAUAGUCAGGUGGUUCCUUCCAGCAACUCCGUAUUGCGGAGAAUUGAGGAGUGUGACGGGCGACUAACUACCACAGUUCCCAUAACGGGUGAGUCAUCAUCAUCGUCUUUCAGACCUUUUUAGCAGAUCUCUCUCUCUCCGUCCUUGUCUCUCUCUCUCUCUCUCUCUCCCCCUCCUUCUCUCUCUCUCUCUCUCUCUCUCCUUGUCUCUCUCUCCUAUUCUCUCUCUCUCUC